GGUAACGGGGAAUUAGGGUUCGAUUCCGGAGAGGGAGCCUGAGAAACGGCUACCACAUCUAAGGAAGGCAGCAGGCGCGCAAAUUACCCAAUCCUAAUACAGGGAGGUAGUGACAAGAAAUAACAAUACAGGACUUUUUGGUUUUGUAAUGGAAUGAGU
RNAcentral lists this ribosomal RNA (159 nucleotides) under Cryptosporidium parvum. RNAcentral's name for it is "partial small subunit ribosomal RNA". It matches the Rfam family "Eukaryotic small subunit ribosomal RNA", at positions 358 to 519 of the family's 1831-position model. Lineage: Eukaryota; Apicomplexa; Conoidasida; Eucoccidiorida; Cryptosporidiidae. The record is from RNAcentral.